CACUUAGAUGUUCGGGGCCGCACGCGCGCUACACUGAAGGAAUCAGCACGUCUUUCUCCUUGUCCGAAAGGACUGGGUAACCCGCUGAACCUCCUUCGUGCUAGGGAUUGGGGCUUGUAAUUCUUCCCCAUGAACGAGGAAUUCCCAGUAAGCGCGAGUCAUAAGCUCGCGUUGAUUACGUCCCUGCCCUUUGUACACACCGCCCGUCGCUACUACCGAUUGGAUGGUUUAGUGAGAUCCUCGGAUUGGUCCCGGCGCGGCCUCUGGUCGUGCCGGAGUGCCGAAAAGAAUGUCGAACUUGAUCAUCUAGAGGAAGUAAAAGUCGUAACA
Molecule: ribosomal RNA, 330 nt
Filed under: uncultured eukaryote
Lineage: Eukaryota
Description: partial 18S ribosomal RNA
Rfam family: Eukaryotic small subunit ribosomal RNA
Source: RNAcentral